AACGCACCUUGCACCCUUUGGUAUUCCGAAGGGUACACCCGUUUGAGUGUCAUUGUAAUCUCACUACAAUCCUCUUUGGUUGUAUGUGGAUCUGGAUGCUGCCGUGUGCUACAAACGGCUCAUCUGAAAUGCCUGAGUGUACCCUGCUUUGCAGUGUAUUCGGUGUGAUACAUCUUCACCGGAGUUUGACCUUUCGGGGUCACGUCUGCUUACUUAUGGGUCUAUGCUUCCAACUGUCUUUGACCAGACAAUGCCUGACAAUUUGACCUCAAAUCGGGUGGGACUACCCGCUGAACUUAA
This 300-nucleotide unclassified non-coding RNA is filed under the name uncultured Sebacinales. RNAcentral describes it as "sequence contains ITS2". Lineage: Eukaryota; Fungi; Basidiomycota; Agaricomycetes; Sebacinales. The record is from RNAcentral.